AGAGUUUGAUCCUGGCUCAGAACGAACGCUGGCGGCAUGCUUAACACAUGCAAGUCGAACGUGAAAGUGGACUUCGGUCCGCGAGUAAAGUGGCGCACGGGUGAGUAACACGUGGAUAAUCUACCCGAUGAUCUGGAAUAACACUUCGAAAGGGGUGCUAAUACCGGAUAAGCUCACGACGUCUUCGGACGAUGUGGGAAAAGGGGGCUUCGGCUCCUGUCAUCGGAUGAGUCCGCGGCCCAUUAGCUAGUUGGUAGGGUAAUGGCCUACCAAGGCGACGAUGGGUAGCUGGUCUGAGAGGAUGAUCAGCCACACUGGAACUGAGACACGGUCCAGACUCCUACGGGAGGCAGCAGUGGGGAAUUUUGCGCAAUGGACGAAAGUCUGACGCAGCAACGCCGCGUGGGUGAUGAAGGUCUUCGGAUUGUAAAACCCUGUCGUCAGGGACGAAGGUUGGGAUCCUAAUACGAUUUCAGCUUGACGGUACCUGGAGAGGAAGCCCCGGCUAACUCUGUGCCAGCAGCCGCGGUAAUACAGAGGGGGCAAGCGUUAUUCGGAAUUAUUGGGCGUAAAGGGCGCGUAGGCGGUUUUGUAAGUAGGAUGUGUAAUCCCCGAGCUCAACUUGGGAACUGCAUCCUAGACUGCAAGGCUAGAGUACUGGAGAGGGUGGUAGAAUUCCACGUGUAGCGGUGAAAUGCGUAGAGAUGUGGAGGAAUACCAGUGGCGAAGGCGGCCACCUGGACAGUAACUGACGCUGAGGCGCGAAAGUGUGGGGAGCAAACAGGAUUAGAUACCCUGGUAGUCC
Molecule: ribosomal RNA, 805 nt
Filed under: uncultured bacterium
Lineage: Bacteria
Description: bacterial SSU rRNA
Rfam family: Bacterial small subunit ribosomal RNA
Source: RNAcentral